AUCAGGUUUCGCCGGCACACGAACUUGAGCUUGGGCGUCGAGUUGUAGAACCCGGCCACCUUCACCACGUCCCCCAGACGGUACCGGUACAGCCCUGCCAAUUUCCAUUUACCUCAGGCCCUACAUGACGUGCCCAUGCUCAUCCAUGGAGUCAUGGAGUGGAAGCCUCUAGCCUACACCGCGGCAAAGUCUACCGACUGAUGGGCUGCUGGAAAACAUACAAAAUCCUCAUAGCCGCAGCCUACAAAGUAAAGAAAGCGAAAUGUUCUUGUCUAGUAGCUGCUAGGAGCCUUGGACUGGCAAGACAGCCUGAAAACUCAGCUGCUUCUGAAUAAGAUGCAAAGAAGCCCAGAAGUUUGACAGUUCUCAGCCGUUGCAUUCAGAUGUGAAUGCACGCGACCUGCUGGUCAGAUUCAGUUAGACUAUGGUUAAGGCUCGGCGACAGAAGUUCCAAGCUGCAAAGGGCCAGGAACAAUGAUCGGCCGGCAAACCGACAAAUCGUCAUAGAAGCAGCCUUUUGUCUUUUAACAUAUUACUGGGUGAUCUACUAUUUCCACACCUAAUCCAUAGUUCACUGAUACUGAUUUAAUAGGAUUAUUAGUUGCUAGAAGCUCCAGAAUUGUUUGAUCCGGUCAGCGUUUUUUUUCUUCUUGAAAAUAAUACAGCAAGCAAGCAUCUCACAUCAAA
Long non-coding RNA from Panicum hallii, 687 nucleotides. RefSeq lists it as uncharacterized. The transcript has 2 exons. The record is from RefSeq and is a predicted model, not a curated record. Lineage: Eukaryota; Viridiplantae; Streptophyta; Magnoliopsida; Poales; Poaceae.